GAUGAACGCUGGCGGCGUGCCUAAUACAUGCAAGUCGAGCGAACGGACGAGAAGCUUGCUUCUCUGAUGUUAGCGGCGGACGGGUGAGUAACACGUGGAUAACCUACCUAUAAGACUGGGAUAACUUCGGGAAACCGGAGCUAAUACCGGAUAAUAUUUUGAACCGCAUGGUUCAAAAGUGAAAGACGGUCUUGCUGUCACUUAUAGAUGGAUCCGCGCUGCAUUAGCUAGUUGGUAAGGUAACGGCUUACCAUGGCAACGAUGCAUAGCCGACCUGAGAGGGUGAUCGGCCACACUGGAACUGAGACACGGUCCAGACUCCUACGGGAGGCAGCAGUAGGGAAUCUUCCGCAAUGGGCGAAAGCCUGACGGAGCAACGCCGCGUGAGUGAUGAAGGUCUUCGGAUCGUAAAACUCUGUUAUUAGGGAAGAACAUAUGUGUAAGUAACUGUGCACAUCUUGACGGUACCUAAUCAGAAAGCCACGGCUAACUACGUGCCAGCAGCCGCGGUAAUACGUAGGUGGCAAGCGUUAUCCGGAAUUAUUGGGCGUAAAGCGCGCGUAGGCGGUUUUUUAAGUCUGAUGUGAAAGCCCACGGCUCAACCGUGGAGGGUCAUUGGAAACUGGAAAACUUGAGUGCAGAAGAGGAAAGUGGAAUUCCAUGUGUAGCGGUGAAAUGCGCAGAGAUAUGGAGGAACACCAGUGGCGAAGGCGACUUUCUGGUCUGUAACUGACGCUGAUGUGCGAAAGCGUGGGGAUCAAACAGGAUUAGAUACCCUGGUAGUCCACGCCGUAAACGAUGAGUGCUAAGUGUUAGGGGGUUUCCGCCCCUUAGUGCUGCAGCUAACGCAUUAAGCACUCCGCCUGGGGAGUACGACCGCAAGGUUGAAACUCAAAGGAAUUGACGGGGACCCGCACAAGCGGUGGAGCAUGUGGUUUAAUUCGAAGCAACGCGAAGAACCUUACCAAAUCUUGACAUCCUUUGACAACUCUAGAGAUAGAGCCUUCCCCUUCGGGGGACAAAGUGACAGGUGGUGCAUGGUUGUCGUCAGCUCGUGUCGUGAGAUGUUGGGUUAAGUCCCGCAACGAGCGCAACCCUUAAGCUUAGUUGCCAUCAUUAAGUUGGGCACUCUAAGUUGACUGCCGGUGACAAACCGGAGGAAGGUGGGGAUGACGUCAAAUCAUCAUGCCCCUUAUGAUUUGGGCUACACACGUGCUACAAUGGACAAUACAAAGGGCAGCGAAACCGCGAGGUCAAGCAAAUCCCAUAAAGUUGUUCUCAGUUCGGAUUGUAGUCUGCAACUCGACUACAUGAAGCUGGAAUCGCUAGUAAUCGUAGAUCAGCAUGCUACGGUGAAUACGUUCCCGGGUCU
RNAcentral lists this ribosomal RNA (1372 nucleotides) under uncultured bacterium. Its description in RNAcentral is "bacterial SSU rRNA". It matches the Rfam family "Bacterial small subunit ribosomal RNA", at positions 28 to 1381 of the family's 1533-position model. The record is from RNAcentral.